UGUUUCUAUUAAUAAUACUUAAUUGGAAUGCUGUGGUUGAGAAAAUCACUAAAAAUGAAGCAAUUGAGCGAUGUGAUAGGUGCCUUUGGGACUUUGGAGGCUAUAAAUACGUGUUGGCAUGGGUUAUCUAUAUGUACAAAAGGGAAUUUGAAUUAUUUCUACCCAGCCAAAUAGCAAUUAGUAUUUCAUAAUAAUGAUAAGGGCCAUCUUUGUUGCAUUCUUGCUUUUGUCUUAUAUUUUUACAUUCUUUCUCACAUCAACCGUAGCUAGACCUUCCGGAGUAUGUGAUCCAUUUUGCAAUGAAACGCAUGUGUGUGCACGGUCACUACUACUGGCUUGUCCUCCUCCUCCUCCUACGGCGCAUUCAGGCCAUGGCUAAGAAUUGACACAUGGACGGAAAGAACCUCGCCGGGUACGAACCGGAUAUGAACGAAUAAAUUGGAUAGAUCUCCGCAACACUAUUGUUCACAGCAUUCAUAUACAUACAUCAAAAUUAUUCAAAGUGUAGUUUGUAUUAUCUGUGAAAUAAGACGUAGUGACUUCUUGUUGACGAUUGAUUAGUUGUAAUGGAUUCUGGAUACGAAGUGUAAUAUUAUUGGUAGAGGAAUACAA
Molecule: long non-coding RNA, 612 nt
Organism: Arachis stenosperma
Lineage: Eukaryota; Viridiplantae; Streptophyta; Magnoliopsida; Fabales; Fabaceae
Exons: 3
Source: RefSeq, a predicted model, not a curated record